AAUCCCCGGCUCUUGGGGUCGUGGGAAAUGUGGCGUUUGGGAGUGAGCGUGCCGGGCGCGCGCCGGACGGCAAGUCCCCCUGACCGGGGCCUAUCCAGAGCGGGUGCGAGGCCCAUAGCCGUCUGGCGCGUCCCGGAUGCGAUCUCCCGGGAGUCGGGUUGCUUGGGAGUGCAGCCCUAAGCGGGUGGUAAACUCCACCUAAGGCUAAAUACCGCCGUGAGACCGAUAGCAAACAAGUACCGUGAGGGAAAGUUGCAAAGAACUUUGAAGAGAGAGUUCAAGAGUACGUGAAACUGCUCAGAGGUAAACAGGUGGGCCCUCGAAAUCCUGUGGCGGGAGGAUUCAGUCCGCGGCCGCGGAGGCGUUUGGUCGGAAAGCUCGAGGCAGGGCAUCCCGGGAACCGGGGCCGUCCGACCGCGUCGUUUCGCGGACCGCGGACGCAUUUGUCUCCCGUCCUGAGGACGCAGCAGCCGGUCGGGCAGCGGAACGCACGACGGCCUGGGAGGCGGGGGACGGCAGGUGGCCGGUGGCGACCCUCCGGGGGAGCCGCCGGUUGUUAGCCGCCCCGCCGGUGGCGCGUCGCCCGACCGAGGCACACGGGCCCUUCGCGGGCCCCUUCCCGCCCCCAAACACGCGGUGAGGGCAGCUGGAUGGUGAUGGCCGCGGACGCCGCACGCGCGGACGCGUGGGCGACCGGGCCGCGCCGCCGCAGGCAGGCGCUCGUCCCGCCGGGGGCAGGAGGCUCGCUGCGAGUAGGUCGGUCACCCACCUGGCCCGUCUUGAAACACGGACCAAGGAGUCUAACAUGUGCGCGAGUCAGUGGGUCUUGGACAGGCCCAGAGGCGCAAUGAAAGCGAAGGCACGGCGGCACGCCUGCCGAGUCGGGAUCCCCGGUCYUCUGGCCGGGGCGCACCGACGACCCGUCCCGUCCGGCUCGCCGGUGGGGCGGAGUGGGAGCGCACACGUUGGGACCCGAAAGAUGGUGAGCUAUGCCCGAACAGGACGAAGCCAGAGGAAACUCUGGUGGAGGUCC
This 1033-nucleotide ribosomal RNA is filed under the name Cucudeta zabkai. RNAcentral describes it as "eukaryotic LSU rRNA". It matches the Rfam family "Eukaryotic large subunit ribosomal RNA", at positions 118 to 876 of the family's 3401-position model. Lineage: Eukaryota; Metazoa; Arthropoda; Arachnida; Araneae; Salticidae. The record is from RNAcentral.